AACGAACGCUGGCGGCAGGCUUAACACAUGCAAGUCGAACGGGCACCUUCGGGUGUCAGUGGCAGACGGGUGAGUAACGCGUGGGAACGUACCCUUCGGUUCGGAAUAACCCAGGGAAACUUGGGCUAACACCGGAUACGUCCGCAAGGAGAAAGAUUUAUCGCCGAAGGAUCGGCUCGCGUCGGAUUAGCUAGUUGGUGGGGUAAUGGCCCACCAAGGCGACGAUCCGUAGCUGGUCUGAGAGGANGAUCAGCCACACUGGGACUGAGACACGGCCCAGACUCCUACGGGAGGCAGCAGUGGGGAAUAUUGGACAAUGGGCGAAAGCCUGAUCCAGCCAUGCCGCGUGAGUGAAGAAGGCCUUAGGGUUGUAAAGCUCUUUCAGCGGGAAGACAAUGACGGUACCCGCAGAAG
RNAcentral lists this ribosomal RNA (414 nucleotides) under uncultured bacterium. Its description in RNAcentral is "bacterial SSU rRNA". It matches the Rfam family "Bacterial small subunit ribosomal RNA", at positions 29 to 487 of the family's 1533-position model. The record is from RNAcentral.